RNAcentral lists this ribosomal RNA (275 nucleotides) under uncultured bacterium. RNAcentral's name for it is "partial 16S ribosomal RNA". It matches the Rfam family "Bacterial small subunit ribosomal RNA", at positions 338 to 606 of the family's 1533-position model. The record is from RNAcentral.
CCUACGGGUGGCUGCAGUCGAGAAUCUUUCACAAUGGGGGCAACCCUGAUGGAGCGACGCCGCGUGGAGGAUAAGGUCUUCGGAUUGUAAACUCCUGUCAUGCGAGAGCAAUGUGCGCAGGCUAAUAUCCUGCAAAACUGAUAGUAUCGCAAGAGGAAGAGACGGCUAACUCUGUGCCAGCAGCCGCGGUAAUACAGAGGUCUCAAGCGUUGUUCGGAAUCACUGGGCGUAAAGGGUGCGUAGGUGGCGUGGUAAGUCAGAUGUGAAAGCCCGGG